AACGAACGCUGGCGGCAUGCCUAACACAUGCAAGUCGAACGAGACCUCCGGGUCUAGUGGCGCACGGGUGCGUAACGCGUGGGAACCUGCCUUUAGGUUCGGAAUAACUCAGAGAAAUUUGAGCUAAUACCGGAUGAUGUCUUCGGACCAAAGAUUUAUCGCCUUUAGAUGGGCCCGCGUUGGAUUAGCUAGUUGGUGGGGUAAAGGCCUACCAAGGCGACGAUCCAUAGCUGGUCUGAGAGGAUGAUCAGCCACACUGGGACUGAGACACGGCCCAGACUCCUACGGGAGGCAGCAGUGGGGAAUAUUGGACAAUGGGCGAAAGCCUGAUCCAGCAAUGCCGCGUGAGUGAUGAAGGCCUUAGGGUUGUAAAGCUCUUUUACCCGAGAUGAUAAUGACAGUAUCGGGAGAAUAAGCUCCGGCUAACUCCGUG
This 433-nucleotide ribosomal RNA is filed under the name uncultured bacterium. Its description in RNAcentral is "partial 16S ribosomal RNA". It matches the Rfam family "Bacterial small subunit ribosomal RNA", at positions 29 to 507 of the family's 1533-position model. The record is from RNAcentral.